This 254-nucleotide ribosomal RNA is filed under the name uncultured bacterium. Its description in RNAcentral is "partial 16S ribosomal RNA". It matches the Rfam family "Bacterial small subunit ribosomal RNA", at positions 524 to 776 of the family's 1533-position model. The record is from RNAcentral.
UACGGGGGGAGCAAGCGUUGUUCGGAUUUACUGGGCGUAAAGGGCGCGUAGGCGGUCGUGACAAGUCACUUGUGAAAUCUCCGGGCUUAACUCGGAACGGUCAAGUGAUACUGUCGGACUAGAGUACAGAAGGGGCAACUGGAAUUCUCGGUGUAGCGGUGAAAUGCGUAGAUAUCGAGAGGAACACCUGCGGCGAAGGCGACUCUCUGGUCUGUAACUGACGCUGAGGCGCGAAAGCGUGGGGAGCAAACAGG